RNAcentral lists this ribosomal RNA (453 nucleotides) under Hypostomus pusarum. RNAcentral's name for it is "partial 16S ribosomal RNA". It matches the Rfam family "Bacterial large subunit ribosomal RNA", at positions 1936 to 2548 of the family's 2925-position model. The record is from RNAcentral. Lineage: Eukaryota; Metazoa; Chordata; Actinopteri; Siluriformes; Loricariidae.
GUAUUUUGACCGUGCAAAGGUAGCGCAAUCACUUGUCUUUUAAAUGAAGACCUGUAUGAAUGGUGGAACGAGGGCUUAACUGUCUCCCCCUUCUAGUCAAUGAAAUUGAUCUACCCGUGCAGAAGCGGAUAUAACAAUACAAGACGAGAAGACCCUUUGGAGCUUAAGAUAAAAAACCAACUAUGUCAAAAGUCCUAAAAAAGACUAAACCAAAUAGUACUGGUCCUAAUCUUCGGUUGGGGCGACCACGGGAGAAAACAAAGCUCCCAUGCGGAUUGGGGUAAAUCCCUAAAACUGAGAGAGACAUCUCUAAGGCGCAGAAUAUCUGACCAUAAAGAUCCGGCUACAUGCCGACCAACGGACCAAGUUACCCUAGGGAUAACAGCGCAAUCCCCUUCCAGAGUCCAUAUCGACAAGGGGGUUUACGACCUCGAUGUUGGAUCAGGACAUCCU